AAGAAUGGAAAUGUUAAUUUUGAAAGAAUUUCUUACUUAAUUGUUUUUAAAGCGAAGUUUUUGUUUUUAAGAUAUGAAAAAAGACUUUAAUGAGGAAAAAUAAUCAAAUUUAAGACUCUUUUUAUAAAAUUGUACUUGCAAAAGUUCGUAAUAAAAAUAAUACUUCUUUAACAAUUUAAAUUCUUAACUUUAACUAUCAAAAAUUGUUACUAAAAUAGUAAGCUAAAAAUAUAUUUCAUAUAUUAAAAUUCAAUUUAACUUAUUUUUGUUUUUUUUUGAAAAUGUUUUUGAUCCUCAAAAAAUGUAUUGCCUAACUCUUACAUUUUUCUUCAUAAACUUCUUAUUAACUUAAAGGUUCUGUAAAUAUUAACUUACAUACAGCUUCGAUCGGUUAAGAAACAUCUGCUUUAGUAUCUGAUUUAUAAUAUCUUUUGCUUGAUUUUACUCGCUUCUCGCAGAUGCCGCGACGCUUAAACCCACUCAGCCACUAACUUAGUCACCGCCGUUAAAAUGUAAAUUUCCAACAUGCUACUAAAACCACUAACACCAGCCAGCGACAAUUAAAGCCAGCCGCUAGAGAGGAUCAGGAGCACGAUCAAGGAGCAGGAGAGAGGUGGUGGAGCAGAAACUAAUCCAAAGAAGAUACACUGAGAAAAACACGAUGGCCGGGCCGCAGGUGCAGCAUAGCCAGAGACCGAAUAGCGCCUACUAUACUGGCUUGAAUGGCGGUUCCAGUGGUGGGGCAGGAGGAUCCUCCGCCGGAAUGUCGAGCAGUGCAUCGCACACUGGCCUGCAUGCCCUGCGCCAGGUGAGCAACGAAACGGAGCUGAUCUACCGUGGCAGUCACAGCAAUGGAACGGUCAACGAGCUGCCCUCGACCGCCCAGCACCACCUGCUCACCGGUCGGGUGGUACAGCAGCAGCAGCAGGUGCAUCACCAGACAGUUAGCAGCAUCGCUGGCACCGGGUCAAGUGUCACGGAUGCCCUAAUAGGCACCAUAACCACCGGCGGAGGCGCCUCAGGCAGCAGUUGCUCUACGUCGGCAUUGGGUAUCAAAAAGUCCAGCACACAGCGCAGCAUCGAGAUCAUUGUGGAUGCUAGUCAGUGUGGCAAGGAGUUGGUGGCCAGUGGCCCGGGUUCGGGCACGGCAGGAGCAGCAGCAGCAGCUAGUUCGGGAACAGCUAUUAUCUCCACUUUGGAUGUGGAGGAUGUGGAGCAGGGCGGCGGCGGACAGGAGUCCUCUUCUUCGCACCGUAAAUCAUCGCGCCAUCGCCAUCGACCGCUCCAUCGGCGGCUCAUCACCUAUCUGCGGAACCUCUUCCAGGGCAGCACCACCCAGAACGCUGUGAAAGUUCUGCUGGUUGCCUGGCACUGUAUCACGCAUUCGGAACUGGAAGAGUUUGAGACGCCGGCACGGUACAGACCAGACUCGCUAAGUGCACUGAGCCGAGCCACCCGCUUUACGGAGGACGAGAUCAAACGAAUUUAUCGGGGAUUUAAGGCUGAAUGCCCGACGGGCGUCGUCAAGGAGGACACCUUCAAAGUGAUCUACUCGCAGUUCUUUCCACAGGGAGGUUCGUGCGCCAAUCCAACCUUAUAUGCGCACUAUGUAUUUAACACACUGGAUCAGGAUCACAGCGGCAUUGUCAGCUUCGAGGACUUUGUUCAAGGACUUUCGAUACUGUCGCGCGGCUCCGUGGAAGAGAAGCUGCGCUGGACCUUCUCGCUGUACGACAUCAAUGGCGACGGCUUCAUUACGAGGGAGGAAAUGACUGACAUUGUAACUGCCAUAUACGAGCUGAUGGGCCGACUGCCCGACGAGUGUCCCGAAGAGGAGAAGAUCAAGGGCAAAGUAGAGCAGAUCUUCCAGAAAAUGGACACCAAUCGCGAUGGCGUUGUGACGCUGGAGGAGUUCUUGGAGGCCUGUCGCAACGACGAUGCCAUCUCCCGGUCCAUGUCCGUGUUCGACACAGCGUUCUGACCAUAUCCCACGGACAAGGGCGAUGAGUAUACGGUGCCCCGGCGGCGUCGCCAUCAGCAGCCGGCACAGCAGCAGCGUCAGCAACAUGUGCAACAUCAGCAUCAGGAGCCAGAGAAACAAAUUUGCAUAGAAACUAAAUGAAAAUGCGUAGCGAGAAAGACAACGCGAAUCUGCCAAAAUAAAAAUCUAGGUACCGCAUAACCAUAAAUAUGCAAUUAUGAAUGUGUUUGUGCAACUGUAAAAAUAACCAAAAAUGUGAGCAAAAUGUACGGAAAAUAUAUUGGAAAGGCCAACGAUAGCUCGAAAGCAUUCGAUUUUAUUGUCAUAAUUGGCUGGGUUUGCAUUUAACAGAAGAAAAAAGAAAAAAACAAAAAUAAAGCUGAAGAGCAGCUCUCAAGUGUAAGUAAAUUUGUGGCAACGGAAGUGUCACUGCUUGCCCUUGGAAAACAAAGUAAAAAAGAACAAAAUGACAGUGUGUGAGUACAAGCACACACACACACAAACACACACUUACUUAGACAGCCCCAAUUGAAAAUUGAAAAUGUACGAAACGAAAGCUUUACACAAUGAAACUAAAACUAAAACUAAAAACUGAAACUAAAACUAAAAAACUUAAACUAAAACUAAAAAACUAAAACUUAAACUUAAACUAAAAACUAAAAACUAAUAACUUAAAACCUACUCUUAACGAUUUAAUGAGAAAACAUAUAUAGAGAGAAAUGAAAAUUAAACAGAAACUAUAUUUAUACGAAUGGGAAAUAGCAAGGAAAAAUCCUAAUUACGAGUACAUUUAAUUGGAAACAGUUUGACUUUCUAUUUGAAAAAUAUGUAAACAAAGGAGACACACACACACAAACACACACACACAUACACACACAACUGUAGGUAAAUAAAUGUGUAAAUCAAAAUAAUAGCCACGAAAAGGAGAAGGAGAAUUGCUCCUCGGGGCGUAUGCGUAAUGUUGAGUGUAUUGUUUCUGCUCAUUGUUGUUGAUGGAUACAUACAUACAUCUCUCUGCAUUCUCCAUUCUGCAUUAGCAAAUUAAUGACAAUGAUGGAAUAUCAUCAAGUCGACCGGCUAUAUACAUAAGUGUGUGUGUGUACUAUGGCGUGUGUGGCUGUUGUGCGUGCCUGCCUGGGAGUGUGUGUGCAAGCCAAAAUCAAAUAAAAACAAUGUUUGAAUCAGAAAUUGGACCACAGCAAACAAAGAAGUAGCAUAAACCGAUAUCCGCUGUAUAUGCAUAUUAUAUAUAUUUACAUAUAUAGAAACAGAAAUAUAUAUAUAUAUAUAUACAAGGCAUACAGUAUUCAUCAAGUGCAUAGGUGUGUAAUUGUAAUUUUUUGUAGCUAGAACUAAGUGACACAACGCAGAGAAACCGAAAGUGAAAAACUAUUAGAAAUAGCAAAAAGAUAAAUAAUGAUAACUCAAACAUCUCGUUGUACAUAGUUAGUGAGUGGUUUUCUUUGCCGUUAAACCAACUACAAAUCUUUCUCUCUAAACUCAAAGUAAUUGUUGCAUUUUUAACAAAAAAAAAAACAAAAGAAAAACAAAACAAAAGAAACCCCCUACAUAGCUGUGUACUUAGCUGUAGUCUUCCAGAAGUAACCGAAAAAAGUGAACCAUCAACGACGACGAAGAAUACUCUAUAUUCCACUUAGAUUGAACCUGUAGCAAAUUUGUACCUUAGCCGAAACACCCACAAAAAGCUUUCAAAACAAACAAUAAAAACUUCUUCUUAUAAUAGACGAAAAACCGAGUCCAAUAAAGUUUAAAACUAAAAAACUAAAAACCAAACCCUAUAUAUACAAAGAUAUUGCUGUCGCUCUGUCGGAGAACAAGAAGAAGAUGAACUGUAUUAUUUUUGGAUAAAUGUUAUUGAUUUUUCUCUCUGCCCCACACUUCCAAAGGUUAUUCAAUGUUAGAUCCUUCGAACUAUUGGUUUCCCAAAAUGCAUAUGUAUGUGUAGUAUAAACGUUUCGAUCUGAUCCUGGGCACGACAAUAUCGUUAAAGAAGCCACAACAGUGCUAUAUAACAUAUAUAUUGAUAUAUAGAAUAUACCCAUUUAUCCCACCCCAGACACACAGUACACAACCCUCUCUCUGAAUCUCUCUCGCUCUCUCUAACUCUAACUCUCUACUCUAACUAUCUGUAGGAAGCCAAUUCUUUCUAUCUCUACUCCACUCUCUACUUAUCUGUGUGUGAAUUAGCAAUCAAAUACUAAUGCAAAAUCUUUUUUCAAAAACAAAGUGUCAAAUUUUCAAACAGAAAAACCAAAAACGAAAGAAAACCAAACCACAUGGCAAAUAUUGAUAUGACAAAAAGCGAAAACAAAAACCAAAAAACGAAAACGAAAGAAAUUUAUUGAUAAAUUGGAGGAUUGCCAACCUAGUUGCAAGUAUUUUCCAGGCCUAAGCCUUAAUGAUUAGUGAAAUGCAACCGAAAUAUAUGCAUAUAGAGUGUGUGUUUUCUCCUAAUUUCUAAGCUGUUGAAAUCAAAUUUUACCAAUGCAAAGUAAGUAUUAAACGAAAAAGUAUUGACAAACCAAAACUCUCGUUUUAGAGAAACACUUCAACUUUUUCAGUUCUUAAAUGUAAAAACUGUAUUAGCCAAUUUAUUUGUGAGCAAAACUAGGUGUUAAAAAUAUAAGAAAAGAAAUAAGAAAAACAACAAAGAAAAACAACAAGAAAAAUCAAGAAAAAGAAAACCAAAAACAAAGAUCAGAAAAUACAUGUCAUAGCAUAGGCCUAAGGGCGACAUUUAUUGAGGGACUCCACGAAGGCCACGAAGGACUAUUACUAUAUAUCAAAAUCCAAAAAACAAAAAAAAAACACAAACACAAACCGAAUUGUUAUCGGACGAACGACGAAUGUUUUUCAGCCACUAACGAGAGAUUUUUCCAGUGUUAUCAAUCGUUUGGUCUACAAUCUUCUGGGCCCAAAAGCGAUUGAGCCACGUUAUAAACCCAAUUACAAAUUGAUCAACUUGAGAGUAUAUAUACAAAGAAUAUAUAUAUAUAUAUAUAUAUACCCAUGUACUAGUUCGUAAACCUAGCUGAUCUUUUUUGGUGUAAAUUUUAAAUGAUAAAACCAAAAACGAACAAACUUUCCAUGCAAUAAAAACAAAAAACAAAAAAAUUGUUUCAAAACUACAACCGAAAUGUCGUUUAUAUGCGGAAAAACUGCAUGAACCAAAAAAAAAUUAAAAUUAACAAAAAAAAAAAACAAGAAAAACAAAUCGAAAAUGUGCAUGAAAAAC
Molecule: RNA transcript, 5237 nt
Organism: Drosophila eugracilis
Lineage: Eukaryota; Metazoa; Arthropoda; Insecta; Diptera; Drosophilidae
Gene name: serine/arginine repetitive matrix protein 1
Exons: 7
Source: RefSeq, a predicted model, not a curated record